AGCCCAGCACCGAAUCCCGCGGCCGAUAUCGGACGCCGGGAAAUGUGGUGUUCGGGAGGGUCCACAUUAUCUCGAGAUCAUGUUACGCGUCCAAGUCCUUCUUGAACGGGGCCACAGCCCAUAGAGGGUGCCAGGCCCGUAGCGAUCGUAACUGGUAGCGAGAGGAUCUCUCCUUAGAGUCGGGUUGCUUGAGAGUGCAGCCCUAAGUGGGUGGUAAACUCCAUCUAAGGCUAAAUAUGACCACGAGACCGAUAGCGAACAAGUACCGUGAGGGAAAGUUGAAAAGCACUUUGAAGAGAGAGUUCAAGAGUACGUGAAACCGUUUAGGGGUAAACCUGAGAAACCCGAAAGGUCGAAGGGAGAAAUUCAAUCGCGUUUCGUCGACGACGUUGAGCGAGAUUGAGCGACGGAAAAAUGUUUCGAUGUUUUACCGCACCGCUCGUUUUUCGAUUCGACGACGAACGCGUGCACUUUUCUCCUGGUAGGACGUCGCGAUCCGUUGGGUGUCGAUUUAUUUAAAACGAACGGUGGAGCCCGAACGUACGAUUUAAAAGUCGUUUUACGUUCGGACCCGUUCGUAAAUUUCGACUCGCUCGACGGUAUACGAAAGGUUUAAGGUCGCGCACAAUCUAAUAAACGCGCUGGUAUUUACGUGCCGGUGCGUACGCGUUCGACUCACGACAAGCGCGCCAGAUGUUGUCGGUAAAAUUUAACGGACCUAGUGUGCCGAUACCGACUCCUGGUGACUGUUGGUCGUGAAGUAUAUCUCGAACAGACCUUUGUUUUUAUAAAAACCGAUCUGCGACGCUAUAGCUUUGGGUACUUUCAGGACCCGUCUUGAAACACGGACCAAGGAGUCUAGCAUGUGCGCGAGUCAUUGGGAUUUUCAUUAAACCUAAAGGCGCAAUGAAAGUAAAAGUUCGUUUUAUACACGAACUUAGGGAAGAUGAACGGUGAUUUUUUUUUACAUAUGUAACUCCGUUCCGCAUUCCCGGGGCGUCUCAUUCUCAUUGCGAGAGGAGGCGCACCAAGAGCGUACACGCUGGGACCC
This 1051-nucleotide ribosomal RNA is filed under the name Rhinostomus barbirostris (bearded weevil). Its description in RNAcentral is "partial large subunit ribosomal RNA". It matches the Rfam family "Eukaryotic large subunit ribosomal RNA", at positions 106 to 817 of the family's 3401-position model. Lineage: Eukaryota; Metazoa; Arthropoda; Insecta; Coleoptera; Curculionidae. The record is from RNAcentral.